UCGAGAAUUUUUCUCAAUGGGCGAAAGCCUGAAGGAGCGACGCCGCGUGGGGGAUGAAUGGCUUCGGCCCGUAAACCCCUGUCAUUUGCGAACAAACCCCAUCAUUUAAAAGAUGACGAGCUGAUUGUAGCGAAAGAGGAAGGGACGGCUAACUCUGUGCCAGCAGCCGCGGUAAUACAGAGGUCCCAAGCGUUGUUCGGAUUCACUGGGCGUAAAGGGUGCGUAGGUGGUCGGGUAAGUCUGAUGUGAAAGCUCCGAGCUUAACUCGGAAAUGGCAUUGAAUACUAUUCGGCUAGAGGGUUGGAGGGGGGACUGGAAUUCUCGGUGUAGCAGUGAAAUGCGUAGAUAUCGAGAGGAACACCAGUGGCGAAGGCGAGUCCCUGGACAACUCCUGACACUGAGGCACGAAAGCUAGGGGAGCAAACAGGAUUAGAUACCCCCGUAGUCC
This 448-nucleotide ribosomal RNA is filed under the name uncultured bacterium. RNAcentral describes it as "bacterial SSU rRNA". It matches the Rfam family "Bacterial small subunit ribosomal RNA", at positions 355 to 796 of the family's 1533-position model. The record is from RNAcentral.